AGUCUUUAUCUUCUUCUUUGAGACGUAAAUCUUUUUUAAAGCCUCUUGCAAAUUUUACAACCCAGGAAUAUUUUUCUCGAGGACCAUACUUUUCAAAUGUAUUCAUCAAGGAAGAUGGCACCCCAAUCUCUGUUUCUGUAGGCAAGGAGGAGCCUAACUUCAGUAGGUAGCCUUGUUCCAGAUUGUAAACCUACUUCUUGGCAUGAAGGAAAUUUCUGAGGCACAGAAAUUUAUCUUCAACUUACCUGAAUUAAGAACUGAGAUUCCCAACAUGAAUGCUAGCAAGAAUUUCUGACUUCAUGGCUCUACACUGUGCAACUUCAAUAAGAACUACUAGAUGUCAAGAUAGUUUAUCAGAAGAAGCUGAUCCGUGGCUCCUUGGUCAUCUUCACCUGCAUACACAAGUGCCUGAAGCUGGAGCAUCCAGAGAGUAAUUAGACAGAGAAAUCUGGCAAACUUUUACACUGGUGAACCAAGAAGGAAAAAGCUAAAUUGUCAUUAGUUGCACAUAAUAUAUUUCUAUUCCUGGUAAAUGCAAAAGGACCACUUAAAAACUAAUAAGCCUAAUGAGUAUUCAGUAAAAUAGUCAGAUACAAGGAAACAUACCAAAAUAAUAGCUUUCUCAAAUGCCAGCAAUAAUCAGUUAGGAACUCAAGCGCGCGCGCGCACAUACACAAACACACACCACAUACACACAAUUUAAAGGAGAAAAAAACUCCUACUGGGUACUUAGGAAUGAACUUCAGAAAUUAGAGAAAGGUGCAACUGAACAAAAUAACAAAUAGUAAAGAAGUAUUAAUUUUAAAGUCUUAAUAAAAGGUACCAUAUUACUGGAAUAGAAGAAUCAAUAAUACAAAUAUAUCAGUUAUCCCAAAAUAAACAUGAUAUUUCAAUGUAAUCUCCUUCCAAACUGUAAUAAGA
Molecule: long non-coding RNA, 921 nt
Organism: Acinonyx jubatus (cheetah)
Lineage: Eukaryota; Metazoa; Chordata; Mammalia; Carnivora; Felidae
Exons: 3
Source: RefSeq, a predicted model, not a curated record